RNAcentral lists this ribosomal RNA (254 nucleotides) under uncultured bacterium. Its description in RNAcentral is "partial 16S ribosomal RNA". It matches the Rfam family "Bacterial small subunit ribosomal RNA", at positions 524 to 776 of the family's 1533-position model. The record is from RNAcentral.
UACGGAGGGUGCAAGCGUUAUCCGGAUUCACUGGGUUUAAAGGGUGCGUAGGCGGUGGCGUAAGUCAGUUGUGAAAUUCCCCGGCUUAACCGGCGGGACUGCGAUUGAUACUGCGUUACUUGAAUCAGGUUGAGGUAGGCGGAAUGUGACAUGUAGCGGUGAAAUGCUUAGAUAUGUCAUAGAACACCGAUUGCGAAGGCAGCUUGCUGGACCUGUAUUGACGCUGAGGCACGAAAGCGUGGGGAGCAAACAGG